This 1162-nucleotide non-coding RNA is filed under the name Pongo abelii (Sumatran orangutan). The record is from RNAcentral. Lineage: Eukaryota; Metazoa; Chordata; Mammalia; Primates; Hominidae.
AGUUAUUUCGCAACCUUCAUCUGUUCCUGGAAGAUACCCGUAGCCUGACUUCCUUCUUGACAGGCUGAUUUAGGGGUGCUCCCCAAGAAGAUCAGGACUGCUGAAAGAAUGAAGAAGAACCUCCUUGGCCCAGGAUGUGGAUAGAGAACAGAGCGCACUUUCACUUACCUGGCAAGGUGGUUUUGGAAGUUUCCACGGAAGCCUGCCCAGGGCCGCUGCUGCCCGUCCUCGCCUAGGUGUGGAGCUUCCCAACCGGCUGGGGAGGGAAUGUCCUGCGGGAGCCGCCGAGGACCCUCUUUAGCCUCUUCCCUGGCUUGGCUGCAGCUGCAGUCUGGUAUUUGCCCAUUCUGCUCUUCUUCACCUCCGUAUUGUCUCUCUCAUGGAAGAAGAAUUCCAUUCUCCCAUCCUAGGAAGGAGAGUGCCCUGCGUGCCACGAAAGAGCCCAGGACCCACAGGACAGAUAAGUCACUGACAGACCUGCCUUCGCCAGCGCCAGUCCAUCUCUGAAACCUCCAGCAUUUGUGCCCCGGACCGGCCCCUCCCAGGCCUGACUUUCCGUGAACGGUCACUGCGCAGGAUCGAGCUACAAUGAAGAGGAGGGAGGCAGUCUGCACGCACCGCCAUUUUCUAGGAACUGGGAAGCCCCCCCACCCCUUAGGAAGAUCCAUCCCUGUGGAACCUUGCCAAGGCUUACCAGCCUUUGCUGAGCUUGAUCUAUUGUCCCUCCUUGUCCCCAUCAAAAUAUCCAGCACUCCACCUUCAGGGAGUAGACUUGACCCUCAAAUAGCAAGUUCAGCCUUCCCAGGUCUAGGUUCCCUGGGAGGUCAAGAUUCGUCUGGUUCCUUAGUACAGAGGGCUAGCUGUGAGUUGGAAUCCCCCUAUGAGCUUUAGAAUCAGUCAAGAGAAACUGGGCCCCUUCCCUUCAUCCCUCUUCUUUUCCCUUUUUGUCCCAGAGCUCAGCUCUGACUCAAAGUUUUUCCAUUUACCAUCAACAUGGAAACUUGGCUCCUCACAUGCCUAUAUUAUCCCCCUUUUGCACAUGGUCUUGUUGAUCAAAACUCCCUUUCUGUGAAAGAGGCCUGUGGGGCUCAAGAAGCCUGGUCAGCCAGCCAGGCUAGUCCCACAUACCUCAGAACCAGUUUAAUAAAGGCUCUAUGUCAUU